This 210-nucleotide ribosomal RNA is filed under the name uncultured bacterium. RNAcentral's name for it is "partial 16S ribosomal RNA". It matches the Rfam family "Bacterial small subunit ribosomal RNA", at positions 568 to 775 of the family's 1533-position model. The record is from RNAcentral.
CUCGUAGGCGGCCCACUAAGUCAGAUGUGAAAUCCCCAGGCUCAACCUGGGAACUGCAUCUGAUACUGGUGGGCUUGAAUUCGGGAGAGGGAUGCAGAAUUCCAGGUGUAGCGGUGAAAUGCGUAGAUAUCUGGAGGAAUACCGGUGGCGAAGGCGGCAUCCUGGACCGACAUUGACGCUGAGGAGCGAAAGCGUAGGGGAGACGAAACG